RNAcentral lists this long non-coding RNA (1393 nucleotides) under Homo sapiens (human). Its description in RNAcentral is "HSALNT0031060". The record is from RNAcentral. Lineage: Eukaryota; Metazoa; Chordata; Mammalia; Primates; Hominidae.
UGCACAAGCGUGGCUGGUGCCAGGCAUUGCUCUCCAGCCUCCCUCAGGACUUAUGGUCAUUAAGACAUUUCUCAUAAUGAACACAUAAGCCCCAACACACCCAGCCCUCCCCGCCCAUCUCAGCAGCCAGCCUUCAAGUUUUGCCCUCUGCCAUCCCAGGCCAGGCACUCUGUCACUGUGGGAAUUGUCCUUGCUUUCCUCCCUCUCCCCUUCCUUCCUCUGUGAAGCUUCCUUCCUGGAAGUUUUAAGGAGAGGCCAGAGCCACAGAGCCACAUGGGAGGCUGGAUUCUGAUGCUCCAUAAAUUGAAGCUGAGUUCUCCUACAUAAGACUGCCUCAGCACGCUCAGCAAACUUGCUUCUCUUCACCAGACCACUUCCGUUUUGCUCUUCCCAUUUUAGCUGUCUUCCUCCAGGAUCCAGUGGAGCCAUACAGGAAGCACAGCAAGGGGCAGUCAGUUGGAGGACCUAACAGUGCCUUCUGCCCCUGGCACAUUCACCAGAGAAGAAGACUACUCUGGGACUCACCAGUAUGGGAUGGUGCUAUGGCAACAGUCUCCUUGGAGCUCACUGGAUCCUUAGAAUUAUUUUGUGAUGCUUGUUCUGCAUCUUGAAAUGACAACCUGUGCCUCUGGGACUCAGCUGCAAGGAAGACAAGUGGAAGUGCACUGGAUGGAUGGAUGAAGGCACUCUCCCAGGCUUCCAACUCUUGGUGAUUUUCUGCAAAUAUGGAAAUGAACUGGAAGUGGGCAAAGGUAAUAACAGGGAGACCCUUCGGAGGGUAUUGCAGCUGAAGUGAGAGAUGGUGGCCAGAAUUGGAAUGGUGGUGAGUGUUCUGCCUCGUUUUGUUUCAUGUAGGUUGAUUUGUUUUUUUAGGCAGUUUGAGAGUUCUUUGAGAGCAAAGAGCUUAUUUUAUUCUUCACAGGAUAAAGGAGGAGCCCCACUCCUCACCACCAGUAUGUUCAUAUGAUGCAACAAGAACAUACUCCUUCUCUGCUUGGUCUUCAGUGCAGGGCAGCCUGACACACGCUAUUCUUCUGACCUCCUAUGCCAUCACUGCCCUUUUGGGGGGACAUGAUGCUCAUGUCCCCCAAAUACUUCCCUUUUUCCCCUCUUCCCAAACUAUGACAGGACUUUCCCAGAGCCCUUCUACUUAGAAUGUUCUUCUUUCUUUUUGGCAAAGCCUGGCUUUUCUUGCUAUCUAAAUUUUCUAAUAAAAUACCAACUCUCUGAAGGCUUUUCCUGAUUCCUGGGGUAGUGGCAGCAAUGUGCACCUCUGUGCUCCCAUGGUGCUUUGUUCACGUCUGGAGUUUUGCACCUGCUCACACCAUGUUGUACACUCUCUGCUUGAGUGUCUGUCUCCUAACCAGAUCCCUAGCUCCUAGUUACAAACUCA